Molecule: long non-coding RNA, 950 nt
Organism: Zingiber officinale
Lineage: Eukaryota; Viridiplantae; Streptophyta; Magnoliopsida; Zingiberales; Zingiberaceae
Exons: 3
Source: RefSeq, a predicted model, not a curated record
CGGCUCAUGGAAGGGAGUGAAGGAGGGGCUCUUCGUCUUGGGGGUUUUUCUAGCGCCGUCGCCGCUCUACUUUUCGAGGGUGGUUGGUUGUUUUCGCCGCCAUCUACCUGUCGGCAUUGAGCACCUCUUCCUCCGACGUUUCUCUCUUCAUUUAGAGUUCGCCUCUCAUCGUCGCCAGACUCCAUCACCGUUCUAGCAAUAGCUCCCCUCUCCUCCUCUACAACGGAUGUCGCAACCCUUGUUGCUGGCCAAGCCCCCGACCAUAGCGUCGGAUUUACCUCUCCUCUGCCAAAGCUGGCGCUCGCAGGGAUACCCAUCGGCAUCUCCGCAUGGCUAUCACCGAUCGUUAGCGCCUUUGGCUCCGCUCCCAUAUCCAGUUGCAGCCACGCAUCCCGUCGCCGGCCUCCUCACUGCCUCCACCUCCUCUCACGCAUACUACCACGCGCAGGCAACCCCCUCUCCUCUCGUCGAUAGCUCCUCAUGUCGGCAACCUGAGCGAGCAACCCUAGCGCCGACGACAUCUCUGGCGUUGAGGUCGCCAUCACCGCCUCCUUAGUGCCAGCAGCCCUUUCCCCCUCUCCACGCCGACACCACAGCGCCACCUCUCUCCCACUCCACAGCCCCGGUCACGACGACUCGAUCAGCAUCACAACUAGCUCACGGUCUACCAGAGGGUGCCCCCUAGGCCAGGGGAUCGGGAAAACCCGGGCCCUGCUUGCAGGUAGCGUUGAUCAGAGACUUUCUGACGACUUGGUCAACAUGGAAGAUAGCUCAUCAUAUCCUCCUCUUCCGGAGCAUGACGACUUGGUCAGCAUUCCAGUCGCAUUAUUUUGGUCAUUCUGUCUUCUCAGCUUUCUGACGAGAUCAGAGCCUAACUUACAUAACACACGUGUACGAUCGCUAGUAGUACAUUAAAUAAGAAAGAGGGAGAUUAUAGAAAAGUUGAUUGA